GACAGAGGUCCCGAGCGUUAGGCGGAAUCACUGGGCUUAAAGCGUGUGUAGGUGGAUGCCUAAGUACUUUGUGAAAUCCCACGGCUUAACCGUGGAAUUGCUUGGUAUACUGGGCGUCUUGAGCCAGCUAGGGGCAACCGGAACAAAUGGUGGAGCGGUGAAAUGCGUAGAUAUCAUUUGGAACGCCAAUGGUGAAAACAGGUUGCUGGGGCUGUGCUGACGCUGAGACACGAAAGCCAGGGGAGCAAACGGG
RNAcentral lists this ribosomal RNA (253 nucleotides) under uncultured bacterium. Its description in RNAcentral is "partial 16S ribosomal RNA". It matches the Rfam family "Bacterial small subunit ribosomal RNA", at positions 524 to 776 of the family's 1533-position model. The record is from RNAcentral.